RNAcentral lists this ribosomal RNA (254 nucleotides) under uncultured bacterium. Its description in RNAcentral is "partial 16S ribosomal RNA". It matches the Rfam family "Bacterial small subunit ribosomal RNA", at positions 524 to 776 of the family's 1533-position model. The record is from RNAcentral.
UACGUAGGGUGCGAGCGUUGUCCGGAAUUAUUGGGCGUAAAGAGCUCGUAGGCGGUCUGUCGCGUCGAAUGUGAAAACCCGGGGCUCAACUCCGGGCUUGCAUUCGAUACGGGCAGGCUAGAGUUCGGUAGGGGAGUCUGGAAUUCCUGGUGUAGCGGUGAAAUGCGCAGAUAUCAGGAGGAACACCGGUGGCGAAGGCGGGGACUCUGGGCCGAUACUGACGCUGAGGAGCGAAAGCGUGGGGAGCGAACAGG